Molecule: ribosomal RNA, 252 nt
Filed under: uncultured bacterium
Lineage: Bacteria
Description: partial 16S ribosomal RNA
Rfam family: Bacterial small subunit ribosomal RNA
Source: RNAcentral
ACGGAGGGUGCAAGCGUUAUCCGGAUUUAUUGGGUUUAAAGGGUGCGUAGGCGGGUUUGUAAGUCAGUGGUGAAAGCCUACAGCUUAACUGUAGAAUUGCCAUUGAUACUGCGGACCUUGAGUAUAGUUGAAGUAGGCGGAAUGUGUCAUGUAGCGGUGAAAUGCUUAGAUAUGCCACAGAACACCGAUUGCGAAGGCAGCUUGCUAAGCUAUAACUGACGCUGAGGCACGAAAGCGUGGGGAGCAAACAGG